GCUUAGAGUUUGAUCCUGGCUCAGAUUGAACGCUGGCGGCAGGCUUAACACAUGCAAGUCGAGCGGAGAUGAGGUGCUUGCACCUUAUCUUAGCGGCGGACGGGUGAGUAAUGCUUAGGAAUCUGCCAUUUAGUGGGGGACAACAUUCCGAAAGGAAUGCUAAUACCGCAUACGUCCUACGGGAGAAAGCAGGGGAUCUUCGGACCUUGCGCUAAAUGAUGAGCCUAAGUCGGAUUAGCUAGUUGGUGGGGUAAAGGCCUACCAAGGCGACGAUCUGUAGCGGGUCUGAGAGGAUGAUCCGCCACACUGGGACUGAGACACGGCCCAGACUCCUACGGGAGGCAGCAGUGGGGAAUAUUGGACAAUGGGCGGAAGCCUGAUCCAGCCAUGCCGCGUGUGUGAAGAAGGCCUUUUGGUUGUAAAGCACUUUAAGCGAGGAGGAGGCUACUAGUACUAAUACUACUGGAUAGUGGACGUUACUCGCAGAAUAAGCACCGGCUAACUCUGUGCCAGCAGCCGCGGUAAUACAGAGGGUGCGAGCGUUAAUCGGAUUUACUGGGCGUAAAGCGUGCGUAGGCGGCUUUUUAAGUCGGAUGUGAAAUCCCCGAGCUUAACUUGGGAAUUGCAUUCGAUACUGGGAAGCUAGAGUAUGGGAGAGGAUGGUAGAAUUCCAGGUGUAGCGGUGAAAUGCGUAGAGAUCUGGAGGAAUACCGAUGGCGAAGGCAGCCAUCUGGCCUAAUACUGACGCUGAGGUACGAAAGCAUGGGGAGCAAACAGGAUUAGAUACCCUGGUAGUCCAUGCCGUAACGAUGUCUACUAGCCGUUGGGGCCUUUGAGGCUUUAGUGGCGCAGCUAACGCGAUAAGUAGACCGCCUGGGGAGUACGGUCGCAAGACUAAAACUCAAAUGAAUUGACGGGGGCC
Molecule: ribosomal RNA, 922 nt
Filed under: uncultured bacterium
Lineage: Bacteria
Description: bacterial SSU rRNA
Rfam family: Bacterial small subunit ribosomal RNA
Source: RNAcentral